GAACAGAAUGCCAACUUUAACAACAAAAAUAACAGAAAGCAACAAUUACUUUUCCUUAAUAUCUCUUAAUAUCAAUGGACUCAACUCCCCAAUAAAAAGACAUAGACUAACAAACUGGCUACACAAACAAGACCCAACAUUUUGCUGCUUACAGGAAACUCAUCUCAGAGAAAAAGAUAGACACUACCUCAGAAUGAAAGGCUGAAAAACAAUUUUCUAAGCAAAUGGUAUGAAGAAACAAGCUGGAGUAGCCAUUCUAAUAUCUAACAAAAUCGACUUCCAACCCAAAAUAAUCAAAAAAGACAAGGAGGGGCACUUCAUACUCAUAAAAGGUAAAAUCCUCCAAGAGGAACUCUCAAUUCUGAAUAUCUAUGCUCCAAAUACAAGGGCAGCCACAUUCAUUAAAGAAACUUUAGUAAAGCUCAAAGCACACAUUGCACCUCACACAAUAAUAGUGGGAGACUUCAACACACCACUUUCACCAAUGGACAGAUCAUGGAAACAGAAACUAAACAGGGACACAGUGAAACUAACAGAAGUUAUGAAACAAAUGGACUUAACAGAUAUCUACAGAACAUUUUAUCCUAAAACAAAAGCAUAUACCUUCUUCUCAGCACCUCAUGGUACCUUCUCUAAAAUUGACCACAUAAUUGGUCACAAAACAAGCCUCAACAUAU
This 677-nucleotide long non-coding RNA is filed under the name Mus musculus (house mouse). RNAcentral's name for it is "long non-coding RNA chr3:106082692-106083369". Lineage: Eukaryota; Metazoa; Chordata; Mammalia; Rodentia; Muridae. The record is from RNAcentral.